RNAcentral lists this long non-coding RNA (4075 nucleotides) under Sitophilus oryzae (rice weevil). Its description in RNAcentral is "uncharacterized LOC115882733". Lineage: Eukaryota; Metazoa; Arthropoda; Insecta; Coleoptera; Curculionidae. The record is from RNAcentral.
GGCCAAAUGUUCCUGACCUGUUCAAGCCAUUGAAAAAUAAAGAAGAAGAAAAUGUAUAUGAUCUGUGGUUGCACAUAGUUAGGAACAGAAGUAUUGAAAAGAAGAAGAACAAUACUUUGAUUCUGUGGUUACGAAUCUAUGGCCUAAAAUUCGAAAAAGAAGAAGAACGCUAGUGGCGCCAUUGUGUCAAAAGUGAGGAGAUUUUGAACUAAAAACUAAAAUGGUUGCCAGUAUGUUUGUAUUUUUGUGAAGAUCUAAAUUAAAUCUUAUUUUUGCGCAGCAUUGGUUAUACAGCAAAAAAAACAUCAUGACAGGACGACCUUUUCCGUUGUUGGAAGAUCCUUUACAAUUUUUGUGAUUUUUUGGUAGAAAAAGUGGUUCUUUUAUACAGUAUUUGAGCUUAUUCUGUUCCGUAAGCCUGCUUAAACUCAUGAAAAUGAGUAUUAUUAAUAAUACACACUCAGCAUGUACAGGCCACCUAAAAGACAAGACCUGAAUCACCUCUGUUGUUUGUCUAUCAUUCUGGUUUACGAAAUUGGUUUUUCAUUACUCAAUUAAAAAGAUUGUGCAGUAACGCAAUGGAUGUAUACAGUUCCAGGGCAGUACAUUUAUCCUUUCAAUUGAUAUUAUGAACAAUACAUCAGGACAUAUAAGUAAAUCUAAAAAUUUUAUUUCUUUUGUGUAAAUAUAUUUUUAUUUGUUUGCUAUUGAUGUUCAUUAGUAGAUUUUAUGAUUUUUAAAUUUAAGUAAGGAAAAAUUUCCAAUGGGUGCUAUUUUUAUGUUUCCUUAUUAUCAUAGAUAAAUUCAGAGCAGUGAUUUUUAAUUUAAGCCUAUUUAUGGCUUUUUAUUUUUGAUACAAUACCAUCUACUUAGAACUUUAUGUGGUUUUUGGUUUAAUUUCAUUUCUUUAUAAUUGCUUGACUUUUAUAUAUUGUUGAUUGUGGAAAUAAUGUCAUCAUUUAUCAAUUCCAUACAUUAUUCCCUUGAUUGUAUUUCUGUAGGUCUUAUUUGUUUGGUAAAACAUACCAUUAGUUAGAAUUUAUUUCGUUUUCCUAUUAACAGCUUGACUCCCAUAUUUUCUUCAUUAUUGGAAUAAUACCAUCAUUUAUUGAUUCUAUAAAAUAUUUCACUGGCUCUAUUUCUAUAAGUAUUCUUUUAUUUGUAUUAGUUUUCUUAUGGUAUCAUUCUUGUACAGAAUUUAUGUUUUGAUGGAUUCAUUUUCAUGUCAUUUUUUUCAGAUCAUAUGCCAUGAAUUGCCAUAAUUUUGCGGAUUCUCUUGGUUUGGUUUCUCUGUGUUUAAAUAUAAUUUAAAUACACAGUAACACACUUAAAAAUCUCAGAAUAAGGACUAAUUUUCAUCUAAUUUCCUACUAAUUCCUGGCGCAUUCGCCAUUUAUUCAAAAAAACUGUCUCGUCCACAUAAGUCACUUCUAGUUUUUCUAGCAUUUUUUUCCAAUAAAUAUGCCCGAAUAACAUCGACUCCAGAGCAUCAUAACUAGCCUCCCCGAAGAGGAGGAGACCCGGGUCACCCCCUAACCCUGAUGUUCGGCCAUCGAUGACCUGUGUAGCAUGCAGAGGUACCCAAGGGAGUCACCACCCUCUGGUUUACGAGCUAGGUGUUCUAACGCUAGAGGCUUCGGCCGGAUACGACCUGGCACCCAAGCUACGAGACUUCUUCGUGCACGUAUCCCGUGACGUCUCGACAGUAGAGGGGGCGGGAUAUCGGACACAUUGAAGACGAUGAGGGGGGUCCGCCUGUAGGGGGUCCCGGUGGAUGUCCGCUCGAUGGGUGAUGAGGGUGACCCGAGACGGGGCUGCUUAGCUGGGAUGGGAACUGACUGGCGAGGCUAAAUCGUCGGACAAGGGUUAAAUCUGAUGGAGGGGGGCGAACUUAUAUGCUCUGGAGGAUUUUUCUUAUGUGCUUAAUGUCAUAUUUUUACUAGAUAUUCUUUAGAGGAGGCUAAGCAUAAUAUUUGAUUAAUUUUCCAGUUCUUUCCAAGACCGCAUACUUCUUUAUUUUUUUUUCUUGCUUAUGGCCUACCUCAUAUACAUUAUUUUUGUAUUCUAUAUUUUCUUUAUUAUUGGAAUAUUACCAUUCAUCAAUUCUAUAAGCUCUUCUAAUGACUGGCUUAUAUAUUUUUAUUGUGACUUUCUUCCGAUACUUUUUUAAUGCAUAAAAAAAUAAUUUUGUUGCCUGUAUGGAAUUAUUGCUUUCUUAUCCAUUGUCAUCUUAUUUUUCCCGAGAUUUUCCCUCAUUUUCAUUCCAUUUUAUCCAAUGCAUAAUAUCUCUCUUAAUGUUCCCCAUAUUUUCUUCAUUGUGCGAAUGCAAUCAUUCAUCAAUUCUAUAAACUCUUCCAUUGAUUGUAUUUCUAGGUCAUUUUAUUUGUAUAUACUUUUGUAUUUUUUUUGUCAUUCUUCUGAGACUUUUCUAAGUUCAUUCACACAUAUUUAUGGAACUUUUUUAAUUCCAUAUACUUAUCUCUGUUUCUUUAUUUGUCUCACAUAUUUUCAUUCCGUGAAAUCUUCUAUUAAUUUAUGUAUUUCUGGGUUAUCAGCCAUUAUUUAAUUAAAAAAAAAAUCUGUAUCUCUAGAGUUCUCUAAGGUAUUUUAUUUCUAUUGACUAUAUCAAGUUGUAGUUUUGGAAUCAUUUUCAUGACUUUUUUCAAUUCAUCAUUCCAUACAGAGGAAAACCCUGACUAAAUUUUAUUUUUCUUAAAUAUAAUUUAUUAUUUUUCUCUUACAUUGAUUGUAUUUCGAAGUCUUCUCUUUUAUUUGUAUUAUUAUUUAUUUUAUUGCCAUUUUUCUAAGACUUCAAGUCUUUUUAUUGCCUAUAUAGAACUGUAUAAUUUUGGAUACAUUUUCUAAUUGGUUUUCUUUUCGUUCCUUUUCUAAUUUCCUUUAAAAUUAAGUUUUUGAAUGGGAUAUUGUAUUGCUUUGGGACAGCUGCACUUCAACUCAACCACCCUCUUCAAAAUGCCAGUAGCUGCAUUAAAUUCAACAUUGAACAGUGGAUUCAGAAUAAAAUUCAUCAUUGAAGAGGAACUAAAUAAAUAAUUUGAGAUCAUCAAAUUUUUGGAAAUCAUUCUGUAAUAACUGCAGCUGGUACUGGUACUUCUAUUUUCCCUGCAUUGGACACUUCACCAAGACACAUCUGGAAGAAGACUUUUUGAAGAAGAAAUUGGUCUUUAUUUGUUUUGAAAAUUGUAAAAGGAAAAUUUUGAGACAUUGAAUUCUGUAAUUUAUGCAUAAACUUUUUUUUAAUCAUCAAGAAUAUAUUUUAGUAAAUUCCAGUUGUAUAAAAACACAGAAUUCAAGACCAUCAAAAUUUUAAUUUUAUUUUUAAACAGUUUCUUGGAACUUUAAACUUUACAAUCAAAAAAUUUUCUGAUCAAGUAGGCUUUGAGCAUUGAUAUAUAAUAAUUUUCUAUGAGGAAUUACAUUAAAAUUAAUAUAAUUUUUUAUUCUCCAAAGAAUGUUACGUUAUAUUCAAUAAUUAGAGUACUAUUUAUAAUUAUUUUGGUUAUGGAUAAGAUAUUUAUUGAAUAUUUUGUUUUAGUUAAGUUGUAAUACAAUAUGAUCGAAAAAAAACCGGCGUCAGCGAAGGCAAUGAAAUGAAGAUCUCGUACAUUUUAUAUGGGGAUAUGUAAAAUUAUAUGGGGAAUAUCAUCAUGUUCAUUUCCAAGCCAACUGGACGCCGUUUUUUUCCAUCAUACGGUAUAUGAUAAUAUAAAGACUACCAAGUGUAUAAAUGAGUCCGAAAAUAAAAAUAUACAGUGUGAUCAACACUAGGGAUGGAUGAUUAGAAUCAUAAAGUAAAAAACUGUUUUUUACAUGUAACAGACAAUUUUUUACACAAGGUUAUUUUUGUUAGUACAAAAUCCCUAGUUUUAUACAAGGUAUAUUAAGAUCGCUGUCAUUUUAUAUGUAAAUUUAUAUUGGAAAUUUUAUAAACCGUUACUUCAAAGCCUACCGGAUGCCAUUUUUUUUUCGAUCAUACGGUAUAAUUGAUUUAUGUUUAGGCAUUUUAUUGUUAAUAUAUUUUCUAUUUUGUUCAGGAAUCUAUGUACAUACCAUA